RNAcentral lists this ribosomal RNA (554 nucleotides) under Limtongozyma aff. cylindracea PL2W1. RNAcentral describes it as "LSU rRNA". It matches the Rfam family "Eukaryotic large subunit ribosomal RNA", at positions 47 to 625 of the family's 3401-position model. The record is from RNAcentral. Lineage: Eukaryota; Fungi; Ascomycota; Pichiomycetes; Serinales; Debaryomycetaceae.
UAAGCGGAGGAAAAGAAACCAACAGGGAUUGCCUUAGUAACGGCGAGUGAAGCGGCAAGAGCUCAAAUUUGAAAUCUGGCACUUUCAGUGUCCGAGUUGUAAUUUGAAGAAGGCAGUCUUGGUAGUCAACCUUGUCUAUGUUCCUUGGAACAGGACGUCACAGAGGGUGAGAAUCCCGUGCGAUGAGGAUUGGCUGCUAUGUAAGGCGCUUUCGAAGAGUCGAGUUGUUUGGGAAUGCAGCUCUAAGUGGGUGGUAAAUUCCAUCUAAAGCUAAAUAUUGGCGAGAGACCGAUAGCGAACAAGUACAGUGAUGGAAAGAUGAAAAGAACUUUGAAAAGAGAGUGAAACAGUACGUGAAAUUGUUGAAAGGGAAGGGCUUGAGAUUAGACUUGGCUUUGCUCAAUCAUUUCUCCUUGUGGGAGGUGCUCUUGGCUUUGCCGGGCCAGCAUCGGUUUUGGUGGUGGGAUAAUAGCGAUUGAAUGUGGCCCCUCGGGGUGUUAUAGCCUUCGUUGAUACCGCCUACCGGGACCGAGGACUGCGUCUUGACAAGGAUG